RNAcentral lists this transfer RNA (73 nucleotides) under Solemya velum gill symbiont. It matches the Rfam family "tRNA". Rfam says of the family: Transfer RNA (tRNA) molecules are approximately 80 nucleotides in length. Their secondary structure includes four short double-helical elements and three loops (D, anti-codon, and T loops). The record is from Rfam by way of RNAcentral. Lineage: Bacteria; Pseudomonadati; Pseudomonadota; Gammaproteobacteria.
GCCCAGAUAGCUCAGUUGGUAGAGCACACCCUUGGUAAGGGUGAGGUCGGCGGUUCAAAUCCGCUUCUGGGCU